CUUUGUAGUAUUAUACACAUGCCACGUACUCUAAUACUUUGAGGUGGUUUGUGUUAGUCUAUGGACACCAUUAGUUCAUAUAAAUUGUGUGUAUAGUGGGGAAGUUCUAAGGAAUUCCUUAGUGUCCAGAUGGGCUGUCCUCUUGACGGAAGAUUGCAACAACACUUGAGAUCCAUUAGUAAAGUACACAGAGGAAUGGCUUCUCUACCAGCAGUGCACUCACCAUCCAAUAGAGACAGUAUUAACUGUAGACAGAACUGCAAGAAGUCAGAUAAGGUCACCUAUAGCUUCUAAAUACAUAUGUACAUCAAGGAGCAAUGGAAAUAAGGUAUUAAAGCACUCCCUUUCCAUUUUAGGUGGUAAAAAGGUGACAAUAAACAAAGCAUUUAUUUAGAAAGAAGAAGGAGGGAUAGUAAGAAAGGAAAGUUGUCUCAUUAUUAACUCAUACCAUAUAGGGCAUAAUGUUAGCAGGACGCAAAUUUUGCAAAAUCUACUAAGAUUCCAUUUUGUGGGUUUUAAUGUCACGAAUUCUACCACAUGUGCCAUGCAGAUAGUAAAGUCUCACAAAAAGGGAGAUAGGGAGCAUUGUAGACUUGCGAUGGCUUUGGCUGCUCUUUUAUUCUAGCAUGGGCUUUUGAAACUGUUUGUGUCCUGAAUUUUCAUUCUCACUAUCGAAAUAACAAGAAGCAAGUGAUAGAGGAUAAACUGCUCAAUCAAGUUAACAUUAUCACUGUUCCUAUUGAUUAUUACUCUCUCCCUGCAAAUGAAGCAGACAAUUCUUUUUGAGCCAAUAGAAGAUGAAGAGGGUCCCAUUGCAGAAGAGCAGCAGUUGUCCAUUAAAACUAUCCUUGAUUUAAGGAAAGCAAUAGGAGAGGCUUCUUUUAUUAAAGUUGGUGAUGAUGAAGGACUAACUUGUUAUUGUGCUAGUUGGGGACAUUGAGUGUACGUGUCAUUUAAAUGAAACUACCGCAUAGUGGGUAUAUUCCAUCUGAGUUCAAUUUCGUUCUUUUUGUUCUCAUUUCUUGUGGAAUGAAUUUUUUCCAAAUGAAAAA
This is a long non-coding RNA of Amphimedon queenslandica, 1052 nucleotides long. RefSeq lists it as uncharacterized. NCBI's taxonomy places the organism in Eukaryota, Metazoa, Porifera, Demospongiae, Haplosclerida, Niphatidae. The record is from RefSeq and is a predicted model, not a curated record. The transcript is spliced from 5 exons.